RNAcentral lists this ribosomal RNA (1129 nucleotides) under Lindra obtusa. RNAcentral describes it as "eukaryotic LSU rRNA". It matches the Rfam family "Eukaryotic large subunit ribosomal RNA", at positions 159 to 1389 of the family's 3401-position model. Lineage: Eukaryota; Fungi; Ascomycota; Sordariomycetes; Lulworthiales; Lulworthiaceae. The record is from RNAcentral.
AUGUAUCUGGCAAAGUGCCUUCCGAGUCCCCUGGAACGGGGCGCCGGAGAGGGUGAGAGCCCCGUACGYGUGAUGCUCCUUCAAAGAGUCGAGUAGUUUGGGAAUGCUGCUCUAAGCGGGAGGUAAAUUCCUUCUAAAGCUAAAUAUUGGCCAGAGACCGAUAGCGCACAAGUAGAGCGAUCGAAAGAUGAAAAGCACCUUGGAAAGAGGGUUAAACAGUACGUGAAAUUGCUGAAAGGGAAGCGCUUGCGACCAGACUCGGUCAUUCUCGGGUGCACUCCGACUUGGGCCAGCAUCGAUUUGUGCCGAAGGAUAAAAGCGGCGGGAAUGUAGCUCUGGGGAGUGUUAUAGUAAUGCUUCGGUGCGGAUCGAGGACCGCGCACUGCGAGGAUGCUGGCUUAAUGGUCUCCAGCGACCCGUCUUGAAACACGGACCAAGGAGUCGAACAUUUGUGCGAGUGUGUGGGUGACAAACCCUUACGCGUAAUGAAAGUGAACGGAGGUGGGAGCCGGGCGCACCAUCGACCGAUCCUGAAGUUUUCGGAUGGAUUUGAGUAAGAGCAUAAAUGUUCGGACCCGAAAAUGGUGAACUAUGCCUGCGUAGGGUGAAGCCAGAGGAAACUCUGGUGGAGGCUCGCAGCGGUUCUGACGUGCAAAUCGAUCGUCAAACGUGGGCAUGGAAAGACUAAUCGAACCAUAGUAGCUGGUUUCCGCCGAAGUUUCCCUCAGGAUAGCAGUGCGAUCUCAGUUUUAUGAGGUAAAGCGAAUGAUUAGGGAAUCGGGGGGCUAUUUAGCCUUCAUCCAUUCUCAAACUUUAAAUGCGUAAGAAGCCCUUGUCGCUUAGGUGGACGUGGGCCUUCGAAUGGCACUAGUGGGCCAUUUUUGGUAAGCAGAACUGGCGAUGCGGGAUGAACCGAACGCGGGGUUAAGGUGCCGGAGUGGACGCUCAUCGGAUACCACAAAAGGCGUUAGUACAUCUUGACAGCAGGGCGGUGGCCAUGGAAGUCGGAAUCCGCUAAGGACUAACAACUCACCUGCCGAAUGUACUAGCCCUGAAAAUGGAUGGCGCUCAAGCGUCCCACCCAUACCCCGCCCCCUGGGUAGGAUCGAUGCCCAGGGGAGUAGGCGGA